Salvelinus sp. IW2-2015 is the source of this 712-nucleotide long non-coding RNA. RefSeq lists it as uncharacterized. NCBI's taxonomy places the organism in Eukaryota, Metazoa, Chordata, Actinopteri, Salmoniformes, Salmonidae. The record is from RefSeq and is a predicted model, not a curated record.
GGAGACACAUCAUCCGCGAACAAUUGAGGGACGGCAACUGAUUUCAAAACCACAAACAGUAUUUGCCAAUAUCAUAACUGGAACUGGAGCUGGACAUCUUUGGAGCUGAAGAUUGAGGACAGCUUUUGUAUGCUAGUGUACACUCCUUAACAGUUUUACUGGAUGAAAACACAGCAAGAAAACACAUAGGCCAAUAUGUAAUAGUCAUCUAUUUUAUUGCAGUAUUGGUGGUGGUUGGCUGAAUAACAACUUGUUUUACUAGAGGGGGAAAAAAUGAAUAUACAUAACCCAUAUUUAAUAUUCACGCAGUGACUGAACAACUUCAUUUCCACCCCCACCUCUAAAGGCAUAGUAUCAUGGCAGGUCACCUGUCAAGUCACCUGUCAGGCAGACUUUGCAGUGCCUCCAUGGGUGACUACCUUGAGCAUCAGUUUGAGGGACUUUGCAGGGAAAUUGCCGUGCAGUGAGGCGUAGGGGAUUGUCCACAGCAGGACGACCCCCAGUGGAUGGGCGCCGAGGGGUGUGGUGCUCCUCCAGCAGCUCUCUCAUGAGGAUCUCUCUGUACUUUUGGUAGGUAAUUACUUUACCUAUGAGGGAGUGGGGAGGAUGAGGGAAGGGAGAGGAUGAUGAGGCAGUGGGUAGGUGGGUGAGAUAUUGUCACUAUAAUUGCAUAAUGGAACUGUAUAUGAUUUGCAUGUGAACUGUACAUCCA